Molecule: ribosomal RNA, 632 nt
Filed under: uncultured bacterium
Lineage: Bacteria
Description: bacterial SSU rRNA
Rfam family: Bacterial small subunit ribosomal RNA
Source: RNAcentral
GAGUUUGAUCCUGGCUCAGAACGUACGCUGGCGGCACGCCUAACACAUGCAAGUCGAACGCAGUAGCAAUACUGAGUGGCAAACGGGUGAGUAUAAUGUGGGAAUCUGCCUUUUGGUUCGGAAUAACACGAGGAAACUUGUGCUAAUACCGGAUAAGCCCUUACGGGGAAAGUUUUAAUGCCAAAAGAUGAGCCCGCACUUGAUUAGCUAGUUGGUAAGGUAAUGGCUUACCAAGGCAACGACCAAUAGCUGUUCUUAGAGGAAGACCAGCCACAUUGGGACUGAGACACGGCCCAAACUCCUACGGGAGGCAGCAGUGGGGAAUCUUGCACAAUGGGGGAAACCCUGAUGCAGCGAUGCCGCGUGAGUGAAGAAGGCCCUUGGGUUGUAAAACUCUUUCGUCGGGGAAGAAAAUGACUGUACCCGAAUAAGAAGCCCCGGCCAACUCCGUGCCAGCAGCCGCGGUAAUACGGAGGGGGCAAGCGUUGUUCGGAAUUACUGGGCGUAAAGCGCGCGUAGGCGGUUAGCCUAGUCAGGCGUGAAAUCCCGGGGCUCAACCCCGGAACUGCGCUUGAUACUGGCUUACUAGAGGUCUGGAGAGGGUAGUGGAAUUCCCAGUGUAGAGGUGAAAU